CCAAUAGCGUAUAUUAAAGUUGUUGCAGUUAAAAAGCUCGUAGUUGAAUUUCGGGAUUGGCGCAUCGGUCGUGCCUUACGGGGUAUGAACUGGUGCAGUCAAUUUCUCACCUUCUGGAGAACCGCGAUGUCCUUAAUUGGGUGCCGCGGGGAACCAGGACCUUUACUUUGAAAAAAUUAGAGUGUUUAAAGCAGGCAUUUUUGCUUGAAUACAUUAGCAUGGAAUAAUAAAAUAGGACGGCAUGGUUCUAUUUUGUUGGUUUCUAGGACCACCGUAAUGAUUAAUAGGGAUAGUUGGGGGCAUUAGUAUUCAAUUGUCAGAGGUGAAAUUCUUGGAUUUAUUGAAGACUAACUACUGCGAAAGCAUUUGCCAAGGAUGUGUUCAUUAAUCAAGAACGAAAGUUAGGGGAUCGAAGACGAUCAGAUACCAUCGUAGUCUUAACCAUAAACUAUGCCAACUAUGGAUCGGACGGUGUUAAUUUUUUAAUGACUCGUUUGGCACCUUACG
RNAcentral lists this unclassified non-coding RNA (507 nucleotides) under uncultured Entrophospora. RNAcentral's name for it is "SSU rRNA". It matches the Rfam family "Eukaryotic small subunit ribosomal RNA", at positions 591 to 1092 of the family's 1831-position model. Lineage: Eukaryota; Fungi; Glomeromycota; Glomeromycetes; Entrophosporales; Entrophosporaceae. The record is from RNAcentral.